Molecule: ribosomal RNA, 405 nt
Filed under: uncultured bacterium
Lineage: Bacteria
Description: partial 16S ribosomal RNA
Rfam family: Bacterial small subunit ribosomal RNA
Source: RNAcentral
AUUGAACGCUAGCGCGAUGCUUUACACAUGCAAGUCGAACGACUGGCGCACGUGUGAGUAAUAUAUCUGAACGUGCCCAGUAGCGGGGGAUAACUACUCGAAAGAGUGGCUAAUACCGCAUACUAUUGCAGCGGCAGAUAUCGGAUUAGCUAGUUGGUGGGGUAAAGGAUCACCAAGGCAACGAUCCUUAGCUGGUUUGAAAGGACGACCAGUCACACUGGGACUGAGACACGGCCCAGACUCCGACGUGAGGGAGCAGUGGGGAAUUGUGGACAAUGGGGGAAACCCUGAUCCAGCCAUCCCGCGUGUAAGAAAAGGGCUUAGGGUUGUAAAGUACUUUUGGCAUAGAAGCGGUCUCUGCAGAAUAAGCACCGGCUAACUACGUGCCAGCAGCCGCGGUAAUUC